Molecule: long non-coding RNA, 707 nt
Filed under: Homo sapiens (human)
Lineage: Eukaryota; Metazoa; Chordata; Mammalia; Primates; Hominidae
Description: HSALNT0374775
Source: RNAcentral
AAAGCAGAAGGAACAACUGUCUUGAAUAUGUCGAAAAUUGCUGUCUUUAAGAUGAAGCACCCAGAGGACCACAAUCCUCGGAUUUUAUGAGAAGACCUUCUGCCCUGCCUGCCCUUUUGAGACCUUUAUCUGAAAAGGAACCUGCAAUCCUAGAAAAGAGGUGGAGGCAGGCUUGAUUCAGUUAAGGAAGUUCUUUCUUCUCAGCAAUUACCACGCCAAUUCUGUGGAAAAGCAACAUUUGGAAGACGAGAGAAAUCCACUGUAGGAAGUAUUAGAAAUACCUGCAAUUAGGCUUCAAACAAGCAAAUGAGGCAGGUCUAUUCCCCAGGCCUAACAAGUCUUUGAGGGCAGGAAAAGUAAAUGACGACAGCCUGUGUCCUCUCCAUGACACCACUCUGCCUCCAUGGAACCACUCUGCCCCCAUGGAUCUCUCCAGUUUUAAGUCUGGGGAAAUCUAUCAAUCACACAAUUUCAGUUAGCAUUCCAAGAACUAGGGGAAGGCCCGAGUAAUCUAUUCAAAGACAUGCUUCAGAAAGAACACACCGACCCCAUGGAGAGUUAAACCUGAUUACCAAGAAGCAGGAUAGUUAGGUGUUUCCGCUAUUUACAUAAUCAUUGUAAAUAUAAGUUACAGACUAAUUACAAUGAUAAUUAUGACAAUGAGCCUGGCAUGGAGGAAGAGUUUAAUAAAUAAUAUUUGAUGAAUG